This 114-nucleotide ribosomal RNA is filed under the name Staphylococcus aureus. RNAcentral describes it as "partial 23S ribosomal RNA". It matches the Rfam family "Bacterial large subunit ribosomal RNA", at positions 2811 to 2925 of the family's 2925-position model. Lineage: Bacteria; Bacillati; Bacillota; Bacilli; Caryophanales; Staphylococcaceae. The record is from RNAcentral.
UUUCCCAACUUCGGUUAUAAGAUCCCUCAAAGAUGAUGAGGUUAAUAGGUUCGAGGUGGAAGCAUGGUGACAUGUGGAGCUGACGAAUACUAAUCGAUCGAAGACUUAAUCAAA